GAUGAAGAACGCAGCGAAAUGCGAUACGUAAUGUGAAUUGCAGAAUUCAGUGAAUCAUCGAAUCUUUGAACGCAUAUUGCGCUCUCUGGUAUUCCGGAGAGCAUGCUUGUUUGAGUAUCAGUAAACACCUCAACUUCCAUAUCUUUUUUGAAAUGGGAGUUGGACUUGAGUGAUCCCAACGCUUUUCCUCACCGAAAAGUGGCGGGUUACUUGAAAUGCAGGUGCAGCUGGACUUUUCUCUGAGCUAUAAGCAUAUCUAUUUAGUCUGCCUAAAAAACAGAUUAUUACCUUUGCUGCAGCUAACAAAAAGGAGAUUAGUUCUUGUGCUGACUGAUGCAGGAUUCACAAAGACAGCUUCGGCCGACUUUGUAAACUCGAUCUCAAAUCAAGUAAGACUACCCGCUGAACUUAAGCAUAUCAAUAAGCGGAGGA
Molecule: unclassified non-coding RNA, 432 nt
Filed under: soil metagenome
Description: partial contains 5.8S ribosomal RNA, internal transcribed spacer 2, and large subunit ribosomal RNA
Rfam family: 5.8S ribosomal RNA (bases 1-120)
Source: RNAcentral